Molecule: ribosomal RNA, 370 nt
Filed under: Limnonectes blythii (giant mountain frog)
Lineage: Eukaryota; Metazoa; Chordata; Amphibia; Anura; Dicroglossidae
Description: partial 12S ribosomal RNA
Rfam family: Bacterial small subunit ribosomal RNA
Source: RNAcentral
AACCCACGACAGUCAGGAUACAAACUGGGAUUAGAUACCCCACUAUGACCCAAAGGACUUGACGGUGUCCCAUCCAACUAGAGGAGCCUGUUCUAUAAUCGAUAGUCCCCGAUUUACCCAACCCUAUUUUGCUAAUCAGUCUGUAUACCUCCGUCGUAAACUUAUCAUGUGAAUGGUUUGAUGGUCCACCAGUACGUCAGGUCAAGGUGCAGCUCAUAAUAGGGAAGCAAUGGGCUACAGUCUCUAACAUAGAACAUACGAAAUACUGCAUGAAACACAGUUAUGAAGGCGGAUUUAGUAGUAAAAAGAAAGCAACGUGUUCUUUUUAAUAAGGCCCUGGGACGUGUACACACCGCCCGUCACCCUCUUC